Molecule: long non-coding RNA, 716 nt
Filed under: Rattus norvegicus (Norway rat)
Lineage: Eukaryota; Metazoa; Chordata; Mammalia; Rodentia; Muridae
Description: long non-coding RNA NONRATT020515
Source: RNAcentral
UUGAUUGGCAUAACCUGUGGAUUAGCUAUCUACAACUCCACUGUGGUUGACCUCCACUUCCCGUUGGCUCUCUACAAGAAGUUACUGAAUGUAAAGCCCAGCUUGGAGGACUUGAAGGAGCUGUCACCAACUGAAGGAAGGAGUCUUCAAGAGCUUCUAGAUUAUCCUGGCGAAGACAUCGAAGAGACCUUUUGCCUCAACUUCACGGUGUGCCGAGAAAGCUAUGGGGUGAUAGAACAGAAGAAAUUGAUACCCGGGGGAGACAGAGUGGCCGUGUGCAAGGACAACAGGUGAUGGAAUUGAAACAAAGAAUUACAUCAUUUGGCCAGCUCUUCAGCUAGAAGAAAAGGACUUGACUCGGGGCCUGUGCUCCAGGAGUUGUACCCUGCCACUGAGAGCUCACAGCGGAACUUGAGAGUUCCUGUCCUCUCCUCCAGGGCAAAAGACAUGACUGAACGGUUUACUGUGUCUCCUCUCAGGCAGACUACAGUUUUCUAAGAAGAGAAAGCUGGUAUAGUUAGGCGCAUACUACAAAUGUGUGAAAUUGAAUGCCUGGAUGCUGAACUAGGGAAUACAGGGCAUGUUUAGCAUUUAAGAUGUGGUAAAACCUUCAUGAGCAGCUCAUGCCUUUGAUCCCAGUGCUGGAGAGGUAUAGCCGAGCAAAUCUUUGUGAGUUUGAGGCCAGCCUACAUAAGUGAGUUCCAGGGCAGGGCUUG